RNAcentral lists this transfer RNA (69 nucleotides) under Enochrus politus. RNAcentral's name for it is "tRNA-Leu". Lineage: Eukaryota; Metazoa; Arthropoda; Insecta; Coleoptera; Hydrophilidae. The record is from RNAcentral.
UUGUUACUUUGGCAGAUUAGUGCGUUAAAUUUAGAAUUUAAUUAUGUAUUUUUAUUAUACAGGUAAUAC